GGCAACGACGGCAACGUGGUGUCGGAGAAGAUGAUGCACCUCUGCCUUGAAUCGCACGAAACAACACGGGGAUAGUGAGCACGCUUUCACGGUGUUUGAGUACGUUUGAAACAGAGAGAAUGCAGAUAUCGGAAAUUUCAAGCAUUCGAGCGCAUUUCAAGUGAGUAACUCUUGAAGAAACCAGAAGCGGUAGUUUUAUCUUUGCUUAUCCGAAGCGUUGACGUGUAUCAGCAACACUCGCUCGAUCGCCGAUCGUAUUUCUCUGGGAUUCUUCGUGUCGUUUAUAAUCGGACGGUGUAGGUUCGAGUCCCGUCAUCCGACGAUUACGCGAAAUCUGCAGAGCGAUUUAUCCUGCGCCUCGGUGCGUCGCGUUGCGUCGUAUCACGGUGCGCGUUGUCGCGCGCUACCCCUACGAUGUGCCGCGUCCAAGUUGUUUGGGUGAGGGACUCCGGAUCCCCGAAUCUCAUUGACAGACACACGGCCGCGCGAUCUCGCGAAUUACGCGAUUACUGCGAAGACGCGGUUUAAUGAGGUCUCAGUGUAACGAUUUUAUUGUUGCAAUUGUAAUUACAGUAGUCGUAAUCGUAAUCGUGGUUGUGAGAUGGUAACAGGGACGUCGUGUCGGGGACCGAGCAAGGUAGAUGCCGGGGUCAGGCGAGCUCGUUGCUGUCCGGGAAGUGGUCGCGGGCGUCCAGGCAGGCGGCCAGAUCGAGCACCAGGUGAUGAAGGGUGGGAUGCUCGAGGACCUC
Long non-coding RNA from Solenopsis invicta (red fire ant), 749 nucleotides. RefSeq lists it as uncharacterized. The transcript has 2 exons. Lineage: Eukaryota; Metazoa; Arthropoda; Insecta; Hymenoptera; Formicidae. The record is from RefSeq and is a predicted model, not a curated record.